GUUUCUUUCCACACCACAAGGCUGCAUUGAAGAGGGUAAAAAAGGAUUAUUUCUCAUGUCCUUGCAAUAGUCUGAAUGCUCAGGGCAAUCACAAGAAACUUUCAUCGAACUUCAGAACAUAAAAAGAAUCAGGCACAACAAGAAUGUUAGUUUUAAGAAAUAAACCACACUUAGAUAAACUUG
This is a non-coding RNA of Arabidopsis thaliana (thale cress), 183 nucleotides long. RefSeq annotates it as other RNA. The record is from RefSeq. NCBI's taxonomy places the organism in Eukaryota, Viridiplantae, Streptophyta, Magnoliopsida, Brassicales, Brassicaceae. The transcript has a single exon.